Molecule: non-coding RNA, 104 nt
Organism: Acanthosepion pharaonis
Lineage: Eukaryota; Metazoa; Mollusca; Cephalopoda; Sepiida; Sepiidae
Source: the annotation of a GenBank genome assembly
ACUAUAUCACAUUGAAGCAAAUGUUCUCAUAUGAUCACUGAACUUAAGCAACAUCAAGCCUGGCCAGUACUUAGAUGGGUGACUGCUUGGGAAUACUAGAUGCU